CCCAAAAUCAUCCAAAACCCGCCCUAGUCUACGGUAUGAGGAAGGACCGUCUGUUUCCUAUUCGGGUCCGUGAAUCGGGACUACUGUGAGCCGCUGCGGGGCGCCGCCGGGCUGCGUGGUGACGUGACUUCCUGCGUGGAGACUUCCUGUGAUGAGUGGGAGCCGGAGCCGAAAGUUCGGGACCCGGAGCCGCGGGCGGCGCCUUCGCCCCGGAGGCUGGCGUUUCUUGGAGGGAAAAUUCCUUCUCCCGACUUCUUGCUAGGAAGAUCACGGAUCACAAUUGUAAGAAAAUCCAACGCAUUUUGUCUCUUGGCAAGACUUCAUCAGGGGUAUAUCUUCAGAUGUGAAUGAACUGAACAUCAAUUACGUGUGCACUAUGAACACUUUGAGAUGGUUAAUAAGACAUAAAGGGGUCUAUUUACUAAGCCUUGAAUGGAGAUAAAGUGGACGGGAAAAAAAGUACCAGCCAAUCAGUGUGUAACUGCCAUGUCACAGGCUGGGUUUGAAAAAUUACAGUUAGGAGCCGAUUGACUGGUACUUUAUCUCCAUCUACGUUAUUUCAUCCAAGGCUUAGUAAAUAGACCCCCAAAUUCUUUAUCCAAAUAAAAAAAAAAACCCUGACUUUUCAAAUUAGUAAGUGAACCGCAGCAUUAUUAUUUCUGACUCAUACAUGUAUUGCGUGUCAG
Pseudophryne corroboree (corroboree frog) is the source of this 686-nucleotide long non-coding RNA. RefSeq lists it as uncharacterized. The transcript has 3 exons. The record is from RefSeq and is a predicted model, not a curated record. Lineage: Eukaryota; Metazoa; Chordata; Amphibia; Anura; Myobatrachidae.